This is a long non-coding RNA of Macrobrachium nipponense, 476 nucleotides long. RefSeq lists it as uncharacterized. The transcript is spliced from 3 exons. Lineage: Eukaryota; Metazoa; Arthropoda; Malacostraca; Decapoda; Palaemonidae. The record is from RefSeq and is a predicted model, not a curated record.
GUUUGAGUAUCAGUGCAGGUGGUCGGUUGAGUAUUUUUUUUCCUUAGAGGUGAUUUUUUUUCCCUUCAUCGUGGCCUCUGAUUCAGGAAUGUACAGGAAUUUGGAGGUCAACAAAGGAGCAGACAUCAAAUGAUCAAUUAGCAGCAGUGCUGGGAUGACUGUAGUCAACUAGAUGAGGAUGGACAUAUCUAAAGAAGGUCAAGAGGAACUGAGUGGAUAUGUCAAAUAUUAAAAAGCUAUUGGACACCAUCAUCACUGAGUCACAUUAUCCAUGUCCACUUUUACUGGCUCCUGAAUCAUUGAAAAAUGUACAAUAUCUCCUCACCAACCCUGCUCAGGUUAGAUGGAAUAGCAAAAAGUCAUUUGGUGAAGAAAUCCACAAUGGUGUAUGUGUAAAUAUAUUAAAAACAUACAAAACAUGACAGAUUUAAAUCUAUUUGUAUUUUUCAUAGCUAACAAACCUUUGGUCUUAACAC